GACGAACGCUGGCGGCGUGCCUAAUACAUGCAAGUCGAACGCUUCUUUUUCCACCGGAGCUUGCUCCAYCGGAAAAAGAGGAGUGGCGAACGGGUGAGUAACACGUGGGUAACCUGCCCRUCAGAAGGGGAUAACACUUGGAAACAGGUGCUAAUACCGUAUAACAAUCGAAACCGCAUGGUUUUGAUUUGAAAGGCGCUUUCGGGUGUCGCUGAUGGAUGGACCCGCGGUGCAUUAGCUAGUUGGUGAGGUAACGGCUCACCAAGGCGACGAUGCAUAGCCGACCUGAGAGGGUGAUCGGCCACAUUGGGACUGAGACACGGCCCAAACUCCUACGGGAGGCAGCAGUAGGGAAUCUUCGGCAAUGGACGAAAGUCUGACCGAGCAACGCCGCGUGAGUGAAGAAGGUUUUCGGAUCGUAAAACUCUGUUGUUAGAGAAGAACAAGGAUGAGAGUAACUGUUCAUCCCUUGACGGUAUCUAACCAGAAAGCCACGGCUAACUACGUGCCAGCAGCCGCGGUAAUACGUAGGUGGCAAGCGUUGUCCGGAUUUAUUGGGCGUAAAGCGAGCGCAGGCGGUUUCUUAAGUCUGAUGUGAAAGCCCCCGGCUCAACCGGGGAGGGUCAUUGGAAACUGGGAGACUUGAGUGCAGAAGAGGAGAGUGGAAUUCCAUGUGUAGCGGUGAAAUGCGUAGAUAUAUGGAGGAACACCAGUGGCGAAGGCGGCUCUCUGGUCUGUAACUGACGCUGAGGCUCGAAAGCGUGGGGAGCAAACAGGAUUAGAUACCCUGGUAGUCCACGCCGUAAACGAUGAGUGCUAAGUGUUGGAGGGUUUCCGCCCUUCAGUGCUGCAGCUAACGCAUUAAGCACUCCGCCUGGGGAGUACGACCGCAAGGUUGAAACUCAAAGGAAUUGACGGGGGCCCGCACAAGCGGUGGAGCAUGUGGUUUAAUUCGAAGCAACGCGAAGAACCUUACCAGGUCUUGACAUCCUUUGACCACUCUAGAGAUAGAGCUUCCCCUUCGGGGGCAAAGUGACAGGUGGUGCAUGGUUGUCGUCAGCUCGUGUCGUGAGAUGUUGGGUUAAGUCCCGCAACGAGCGCAACCCUUAUUGUUAGUUGCCAUCAUUUAGUUGGGCACUCUAGCAAGACUGCCGGUGACAAACCGGAGGAAGGUGGGGAUGACGUCAAAUCAUCAUGCCCCUUAUGACCUGGGCUACACACGUGCUACAAUGGGAAGUACAACGAGUCGCAAAGUCGCGAGGCUAAGCUAAUCUCUUAAAGCUUCUCUCAGUUCGGAUUGUAGGCUGCAACUCGCCUACAUGAAGCCGGAAUCGCUAGUAAUCGCGGAUCAGCACGCCGCGGUGAAUACGUUCCCGGGCCUUGUACACACCGCCCGUCACACCACGAGAGUUUGUAACACCCGAAGUCGGUGAGGUAACCUUUUGGAGCCAGCCGCCUAAGGUGGGAUAGAUGAUUGGGGUGAAGUCGUAACAAGGUAGCCGUAUCGGAAGGUGCGGCUGGAUCACCUCCUUUCUAAGGAA
This 1541-nucleotide ribosomal RNA is filed under the name Enterococcus hirae. Its description in RNAcentral is "bacterial SSU rRNA". It matches the Rfam family "Bacterial small subunit ribosomal RNA". The record is from RNAcentral. Lineage: Bacteria; Bacillati; Bacillota; Bacilli; Lactobacillales; Enterococcaceae.